This 776-nucleotide ribosomal RNA is filed under the name uncultured Enterococcaceae bacterium. Its description in RNAcentral is "bacterial SSU rRNA". It matches the Rfam family "Bacterial small subunit ribosomal RNA", at positions 28 to 776 of the family's 1533-position model. The record is from RNAcentral. Lineage: Bacteria; Bacillati; Bacillota; Bacilli; Lactobacillales; Enterococcaceae.
GACGAACGCUGGCGGCGUGCCUAAUACAUGCAAGUCGAACGCUUUUUCUUUCACCGGAGCUUGCUCCACCGAAAGAAAAAGAGUGGCGAACGGGUGAGUAACACGUGGGUAACCUGCCCAUCAGAAGGGGAUAACACUUGGAAACAGGUGCUAAUACCGUAUAACAAGUAAAACCGCAUGGUUUUACUUUGAAAGGCGCUUUUGCGUCACUGAUGGAUGGACCCGCGGUGCAUUAGCUAGUUGGUGAGGUAACGGCUCACCAAGGCAACGAUGCAUAGCCGACCUGAGAGGGUGAUCGGCCACAUUGGGACUGAGACACGGCCCAAACUCCUACGGGAGGCAGCAGUAGGGAAUCUUCGGCAAUGGACGAAAGUCUGACCGAGCAACGCCGCGUGAGUGAAGAAGGUUUUCGGAUCGUAAAACUCUGUUGUUAGAGAAGAACAAGGAUGAGAGUAAAAUGUUCAUCCCUUGACGGUAUCUAACCAGAAAGCCACGGCUAACUACGUGCCAGCAGCCGCGGUAAUACGUAGGUGGCAAGCGUUGUCCGGAUUUAUUGGGCGUAAAGCGAGCGCAGGCGGUUUCUUAAGUCUGAUGUGAGAGCCCCCGGCUCAACCGGGGAGGGUCAUUGGAAACUGGGAAACUUGAGUGCAGAAGAGGAGAGUGGAAUUCCAUGUGUAGCGGUGAAAUGCGUAGAUAUAUGGAGGAACACCAGUGGCGAAGGCGGCUCUCUGGUCUGUAACUGACGCUGAGGCUCGAAAGCGUGGGGAGCAAACAGG